GGGGAUGUAGCUCAGUGGCACAGCGCCUGCCUAGCAAGCAUGAGGCCCCGAGUUCGAUUCCUGGUACCA
Molecule: transfer RNA, 69 nt
Filed under: Heterocephalus glaber (naked mole-rat)
Lineage: Eukaryota; Metazoa; Chordata; Mammalia; Rodentia; Bathyergidae
Rfam family: tRNA
About the family: Transfer RNA (tRNA) molecules are approximately 80 nucleotides in length. Their secondary structure includes four short double-helical elements and three loops (D, anti-codon, and T loops).
Source: Rfam by way of RNAcentral